Molecule: ribosomal RNA, 648 nt
Filed under: Stenotrophomonas sp. HPC1294
Lineage: Bacteria; Pseudomonadati; Pseudomonadota; Gammaproteobacteria; Lysobacterales; Lysobacteraceae
Description: bacterial SSU rRNA
Rfam family: Bacterial small subunit ribosomal RNA
Source: RNAcentral
UCAUUGGGCAAGCUCCCCGAAAAUUUGACCGGGCCCCAAGAUUCGCAAGCGGGGGACCGGUGAGGAAUACAUCGGAAUCUACUCUGUCGUGGGGGAUAACGUAGGGAAACUUACGCUAAUACCGCAUACGACCUACGGGUGAAAGCAGGGGAUCUUCGGACCUUGCGCGAUUGAAUGAGCCGAUGUCGGAUUACCUAGUUGGCGGGGUAAAGGCCCACCAAGGCGACGAUCCGUAGCUGGUCUGAGAGGAUGAUCAGCCACACUGGAACUGAGACACGGUCCAGACUCCUACGGGAGGCAGCAGUGGGGAAUAUUGGACAAUGGGCGCACGCCUGAUCCAGCCAUACCGCGUGGGUGAAGAAGGCCUUCGGGUUGUAAAGCCCUUUUGUUGGGAAAGAAAUCCAGCUGGCUAAUACCCGGUUGGGAUGACGGUACCCAAAGAAUAACCACCGGCUAACUUCCUGCCAGCAGCCGCGGUAAUACGAAGGGGUGCAAGCGUCACUCGCAAUUACUGGGCGUAAAGCGUGCGUAGGUGCUCGUCUACCUCCGUUGUGAAGCCCUGGGUCAACCUGGGAACUGCAUUGCAUACUGGACGACUAGUGGGCAAAGGGAGCGAAUUCCUCGUGCCCCCUCGACUGCCCACAGAUC